This 337-nucleotide unclassified non-coding RNA is filed under the name soil metagenome. Its description in RNAcentral is "partial contains 5.8S ribosomal RNA, internal transcribed spacer 2, and large subunit ribosomal RNA". The stretch from base 5 to 119 matches the Rfam family "5.8S ribosomal RNA", at positions 40 to 154 of the family's 154-position model. The record is from RNAcentral.
GAUGAGAACGUAGCGAAAUGCGAUAAGUAAUGUGAAUUGCAGAAUUCAGUGAAUCAUCGAAUCUUUGAACGCACAUUGCGCCCGGCAGUACUCUGCCGGGCAUGCCUGUUCGAGCGUCAUUUCAACCCUCAAGCCCUGCUUGGUGUUGGGGCCCCACGGCUGCCGUGGGCCCUGAAAGGAAGUGGCGGGCUCGCUACAACUCCGAGCGUAGUAAUUCAUUAUCUCGCUUAGGGCGUUGGGCGGCGCUCCAGCCGUUAAAGAACCAUCUUUAACUCAAGGUUGACCUCGGAUCAGGUAGGAAUACCCGCUGAACUUAAGCAUAUCAAUAAGCGGAGGA